RNAcentral lists this ribosomal RNA (490 nucleotides) under uncultured bacterium. RNAcentral describes it as "bacterial SSU rRNA". It matches the Rfam family "Bacterial small subunit ribosomal RNA", at positions 903 to 1397 of the family's 1533-position model. The record is from RNAcentral.
AAAGGAAUAGACGGGGGCCCGCACAAGCAGCGGAGCAUGUGGUUUAAUUCGAAGCAACGCGAAGAACCUUACCUAGACUUGACAUCUCCUGAAUUACCGGUAAUGCGGGAAGCCCUUCGGGGCAGGAAGACAGGUGGUGCAUGGUUGUCGUCAGCUCGUGUCGUGAGAUGUUGGGUUAAGUCCCGCAACGAGCGCAACCCCUAUUGUUAGUUGCUACCAUUAAGUUGAGCACUCUAGCGAGACUGCCGAGGUCAACUCGGAGGAAGGUGGGGAUGACGUCAAAUCAUCAUGCCCCUUAUGUCUAGGGCUACACACGUGCUACAAUGGCGAGUACAACAAGAUGCAAGACCGCGAGGUGGAGCAAAACUGUAAAACUCGUCCCAGUUCGGAUUGUAGGCUGAAACUCGCCUACAUGAAGCCGGAGUUGCUAGUAAUCGCGAAUCAGAAUGUCGCGGUGAAUACGUUCCCGGGCCUUGUACACACCGCCCGU